GCCGGGCGUGGUGGCGCAUGCCUGUAAUCCCAGCCACUCGGGAGGCUGAGGCAGGAGAAUUGCUUGAGCCCAGGGAGUGAAGGUUGCAGUGAGCAGAGAUCAUGCCACUGCACUCAAGCCUGGGCAACAGGGUGAGACUCUGUCUCAA
Molecule: non-coding RNA, 148 nt
Filed under: Nomascus leucogenys (northern white-cheeked gibbon)
Lineage: Eukaryota; Metazoa; Chordata; Mammalia; Primates; Hylobatidae
Source: Rfam by way of RNAcentral